Molecule: non-coding RNA, 109 nt
Organism: Aspergillus egyptiacus
Lineage: Eukaryota; Fungi; Ascomycota; Eurotiomycetes; Eurotiales; Aspergillaceae
Source: the annotation of a GenBank genome assembly
GUUUCCAUAGUCUAGUGGUUAGGACGGCGGUCUCAUAUGAAAAUAUGACAGUUCCUAUUCUAAAGGAAUUGGUAAUCCGCAAGCACGAGUUCGAUUCUCGUUGGAAGCA